Molecule: ribosomal RNA, 261 nt
Filed under: uncultured prokaryote
Description: partial 16S ribosomal RNA
Rfam family: Bacterial small subunit ribosomal RNA
Source: RNAcentral
GGGCCCGCACAAGCGGCGGAGCAUGCGGAUUAAUUCGAUGCAACGCGAAGAACCUUACCUGGGCUUGACAUGUUCCCGGCGACGGCGGAGACGUCGUUUCCCUUCGGGGCGGGUUCACAGGUGGUGCAUGGUCGUCGUCAGCUCGUGUCGUGAGAUGUUGGGUCAAGUCCCGCAACGAGCGCAACCCUCGCCCCGUGUUGCCAGCGCGUCAUGGCGGGAACUCACGGGGGACCGCCGGGGUUAACCCGGAGGAAGGUGGGG